UUNAAGACUAAGAUCAACCUUUGAUUAAAACUUAAAGAGCAUGGCGGCCAUAGAAAUUUUUCAGGGGAACUUACCUAGUAAUAGAUAAUCCACAAGAUUACCUAACCUUACUUAAAAAGCUUGUAUACCGCCGUCUAGGCAUCUCUUAUGGAGGCUCCGAAUUUUUGUACAAAAGUUUAUGUCAGGUCAUGGUGCAGCCUAUAGUAAGGAUCAACGGCGAGUUACAAUAAAAACUAUUUUUGAACAGAAAAUUUAAAAAUUUUUUAGAAAAUGGACUUGAAAGUAAUAUCUCAAUUAAAAAUACAAUUUGAACUUUUAAUUCUGUGGUGC
Molecule: ribosomal RNA, 330 nt
Filed under: Alionchis jailoloensis
Lineage: Eukaryota; Metazoa; Mollusca; Gastropoda; Systellommatophora; Onchidiidae
Description: partial 12S ribosomal RNA
Source: RNAcentral